CUACAACAGCUUUAGCAUCUACAACAACCACUGCAGCCCUAACUACAACAACUGCUGCUCCUACGACCACUGCAACUCCAGAACCUAUUAUGACAACCAGUGCAACUCCUACUACAACAACUGCUGUUAUUACGACCACAGUGACUGCAGCACCUUCUACAACAACUACAACUUCAGCUCCUAUGACAACCACAACAUCAGCCCCUACUACAACACCUGCAGUUCCUACAACUGUUGCUCCGAUGAUCACUCCACCUGCUGUUAUUACUGCAACAAUCACAACUACAGGUCCUGAUACAACAACUGUAGCUUCUACUUCAACCACAGCAGCUGCCUCUACGACAUCAACUGCAGCUCCUCAGACUGCAGAACCUACCACGACAACCAGUGCAGCACCUUCUACAACUACAACAGCUCUUUCUUCAACAACUGUAAAUCCUUUGACAACAAUAGUUGGUCCUACGACCACAAUUAUAUCAAUUAAUUCUGCAGGUCUUACAACCACAACCACAACUGGUAGUUCUCAUCCUCCAACAAGCACUACAACUGCAUCACCUACAAGUACAAGCACAAUUGUACUUCCAACAUCGACAACCAGAACUUCAACUUAUAUCUCAACUUCUAUGACAUCAACAACUAGAUUCGGCACAGUGGGAGUUUUUGUUAAACUGAUAUUCAAGGUCAAAACACCAGUCCCCACUGAGGAUGAUGUCCUUGGUGCCGUCAAGAAGCAAUUGUCUCCUCAAUUCACGACCACUCAAACCACCUUCCAGAAUGCAACUUAUAUCAAACUUACAGAUACUUCAUUUACCAUCGACCUUGGUUUCAAAAUAACCAAUGUAACGCAGGAUUCUCAAAGUAAUAGACUCACACUCAACAAUGAGACCGAAACCCAGAUACAGGAUUCAAUUAAC
Molecule: long non-coding RNA, 914 nt
Organism: Oncorhynchus masou masou (cherry salmon)
Lineage: Eukaryota; Metazoa; Chordata; Actinopteri; Salmoniformes; Salmonidae
Exons: 3
Source: RefSeq, a predicted model, not a curated record